UUACGGUCAAAUCACGCUGAAAACACCGGUUCUCGUUUGAUCACCGAAGUUAAGCAUCGUAGAGCCAGGUCAGUACUUAGAUGGGGGACCGCUUGGGAACACCUGGUACUGUAAG
Molecule: ribosomal RNA, 115 nt
Filed under: Acanthosepion pharaonis
Lineage: Eukaryota; Metazoa; Mollusca; Cephalopoda; Sepiida; Sepiidae
Source: RNAcentral